This 505-nucleotide ribosomal RNA is filed under the name Staphylococcus aureus LysK 2 2010. RNAcentral describes it as "bacterial LSU rRNA". It matches the Rfam family "Bacterial large subunit ribosomal RNA", at positions 3 to 501 of the family's 2925-position model. Lineage: Bacteria; Bacillati; Bacillota; Bacilli; Caryophanales; Staphylococcaceae. The record is from RNAcentral.
UUAAGUUAUUAAGGGCGCACGGUGGAUGCCUUGGCACUAGAAGCCAAUGAAGGACGUUACUAACGACGAUAUGCUUUGGGGAGCUGUAAGUAAGCUUUGAUCCAGAGAUUUCCGAAUGGGGAAACCCAGCAUGAGUUAUGUCAUGUUAUCGAUAUGUGAAUACAUAGCAUAUCAGAAGGCACACCCGGAGAACUGAAACAUCUUAGUACCCGGAGGAAGAGAAAGAAAAUUCGAUUCCCUUAGUAGCGGCGAGCGAAACGGGAAGAGCCCAAACCAACAAGCUUGCUUGUUGGGGUUGUAGGACACUCUAUACGGAGUUACAAAGGACGACAUUAGACGAAUCAUCUGGAAAGAUGAAUCAAAGAAGGUAAUAAUCCUGUAGUCGAAAAUGUUGUCUCUCUUGAGUGGAUCCUGAGUACGACGGAGCACGUGAAAUUCCGUCGGAAUCUGGGAGGACCAUCUCCUAAGGCUAAAUACUCUCUAGUGACCGAUAGUGAACCAGUAC